CUGCCCGCUCGGGAUUUCCCUCACUGCAAACACGAGAAUGAAAUCUCUGCUGGCUUUCCUUUCCCUGUUCUCUGCCCCCUCCUGUGUCCUGUCCCAGGUGCAGCUGGUCCAGACCGGCCCGGGGGCGGUGAAACCUGGAAAGACCCUUAGUAUCACCUGUAAGGUUUCUGGAGUCUCCGUCAGCAGCUACUAUUGGAGCUGGGUCCGGCAGCCAUUGGGGAAAGGGCUAGAGUGGAUGGGGCGCAUCCAGAGCACUGCAGACGGAGGCAGCACAGCUUACAACUCUGCUUUCAGUAGCCGGAUCACCAUCGCCAGGGACACCUCGAAGGACGAAGUUUAUUUCCAGCUCCGCUCGCUGACAGCUGCAGACACCGCCACCUAUUACUGUGCCAGACACACAGUGACACAAAGCAGAGCAGGGACUGGCACAAAAAGAGGAAGUGUCCUGUCCCAGGUGCAGCUGGUCCAGACCGGCCCGGGGGCGGUGAAACCUGGAAAGACCCUUAGUAUCACCUGUAAGGUUUCUGGAGUCUCCGUCAGCAGCUACUAUUGGAGCUGA
Molecule: non-coding RNA, 559 nt
Organism: Chelonoidis abingdonii (Abingdon island giant tortoise)
Lineage: Eukaryota; Metazoa; Chordata; Testudines; Testudinidae
Source: the annotation of a RefSeq genome assembly